GCUCAACCGAGGAAGUGCUUCGAAAACUGGUAAACUUGAGUGCAGAAGAGGAAAGUGGAACUCCAUGUGUAGCGGUGGAAUGCGUAGAUAUAUGGAAGAACACCAGUGGCGAAGGCGGCUUUCUGGUCUGUAACUGACGCUGAGAUUCGAAAGCAUGGGUAGCAAACAGGAUUAGAUACCCUGGUAGUCCAUGCCGUAAACGAUGAGUGCUAAGUGUUGGAGGGUUUCCGCCCUUCAGUGCUGCAGCUAACGCAUUAAGCACUCCGCCUGGGGAGUACGACCGCAAGGUUGAAACUCAAAGGAAUUGACGGGGGCCCGCACAAGCGGUGGAGCAUGUGGUUUAAUUCGAAGCAACGCGAAGAACCUUACCAGGUCUUGACAUACCAUGAAAAGCUUAGAGAUAAGUCUUUCCCUUCGGGGACAUGGAUACAGGUGGUGCAUGGUUGUCGUCAGCUCGUGUCGUGAGAUGUUGGGUUAAGUCCAGCAACGAGCGCAACCCUUAUUAUCAGUUGCCAGCAUUCAGUUGGGCACUCUGGUGAGACUGCCGGUGACAAACCGGAGGAAGGUGGGGACGACGUCAAAUCAUCAUGCCCCUUAUGACCUGGGCUACACACGUGCUACAAUGGUCGGUACAACG
Molecule: ribosomal RNA, 637 nt
Filed under: uncultured bacterium
Lineage: Bacteria
Description: bacterial SSU rRNA
Rfam family: Bacterial small subunit ribosomal RNA
Source: RNAcentral